Molecule: ribosomal RNA, 292 nt
Filed under: uncultured Acidobacteriota bacterium
Lineage: Bacteria; Pseudomonadati; Acidobacteriota
Description: uncultured Acidobacteria bacterium partial 16S ribosomal RNA
Source: RNAcentral
GGACUACCGGGGUAUCUAAUCCUGUUUGCUCCCCUAGCUUUCGCGCCUCAGCGUCAGUUAUGGUCCAGUGCGCCGCUUUCGCCACAGGUGUUCCUCCUGAUAUCUACGCAUUUCACCGCUACACCAGGAAUUCCACGCACCUCUCCCAUACUCCAGCACGGCAGUUUCGCCUGCAGACUCCCGGUUGAGCCGGGAGAUUUCACAGGUGACUUACCGCACCGCCUACGCGCCCUUUACGCCCAAUAAUUCCGAACAACGCUCGCACCCUCUGUAUUACCGCGGCUGCUGGCAC